Molecule: ribosomal RNA, 469 nt
Filed under: uncultured bacterium
Lineage: Bacteria
Description: partial 16S ribosomal RNA
Rfam family: Bacterial small subunit ribosomal RNA
Source: RNAcentral
GACGAACGCUGGCGGCGUGCUUAACACAUGCAAGUCGAACGGAAAGGCCCUGCUUGCAGGGUGCUCGAGUGGCGAACGGGUGAGUAACACGUGGGUGAUCUGCCCCUUACUUUGGGAUAAGCCUGGGAAACUGGGUCUAAUACUGGAUAGGACCAUGCUGUAGGUGGUGUGGUGGAAAGAUUAGUUUCGGUAAGGGAUGAGCUCGCGGCCUAUCAGCUUGUUGGUGGGGUAAUGGCCUACCAAGGCGUCGACGGGUAGCCGGCCUGAGAGGGUGGACGGCCACAUGGGGACUGAGAGACGGCCCAGACUCCUACGGGAGGCAGCAGUGGGGAAUAUUGCACAAUGGGCGCAAGCCUGAUGCAGCGACGCCGCGUGGGGGAUGACGGCCUUCGGGUUGUAAACUCCUUUCAGCCAUGACGAAGCCCUUGUGGUGACGGUAGUGGUAGAAGAAGCACCGGCUAACUACGUG